RNAcentral lists this ribosomal RNA (252 nucleotides) under uncultured bacterium. RNAcentral's name for it is "partial 16S ribosomal RNA". It matches the Rfam family "Bacterial small subunit ribosomal RNA", at positions 524 to 776 of the family's 1533-position model. The record is from RNAcentral.
UACGUAGGGUGCGAGCGUUAUCGGAAUUACUGGGCGUAAAGCGUGCGCAGGCGGUUUUGUAAGCCAGAUGUGAAAUCCCCGGGCUUAACCUGGGAAUGGCAUUUGGGACUGCAAGGCUUGAGUGCGGCAGAGGAGACUGGAAUUCCUGGUGUAGCAGUGAAAUGCGUAGAUAUCGUGAGGAACACCAGAGGCGAAGGCGGUUUCCUGGACAGUUACUGACGCUCAGGCACGAAAGCAUGGGGAGCAAAAGGG